CUCGGCCGUCUUCUCUAGGAGAGAAAAUAUUCGUGCCAUAUAGCGUGUUCUAAGAGUUCUCACCAGAAGCCCAGAAAGUUCUGUAUUUACUCAGCAUUCAAGGGAAAACAGACCCUGUAUUUUUGGGAUUCCUGAAAGGUGACCAGAGGAAUAUCCACAGAAGCAGAAGUAGGAAUGGGGAAGGAGGGGACAAGUUUAGACCAAGCUCUUCUGUGACCUCACUUCUGCUUUUGAAGUCCCACAGCUCUAUAAGGAUUCCUAAAACUGGACAUGGUGGCUGUAGGAGGAUGCGCCUCUUUCAGUCAUUGGAUUUCCCCUGGAAAGACAGAAUGAAUUCACAUUCUCACCUGCAGUGGGUGAGAAGUCCCUUUUCCCCCACUUCCUUGCCAAAAAUGGAUAUUAUCAUUCCUUUUCAUCUUUGCCAGUCUGGAAGUUAUGUGCAACUGAACACAAG
This 454-nucleotide long non-coding RNA is filed under the name Pan troglodytes (chimpanzee). RNAcentral describes it as "long non-coding RNA NONPTRT000727". The record is from RNAcentral. Lineage: Eukaryota; Metazoa; Chordata; Mammalia; Primates; Hominidae.